Long non-coding RNA from Passer domesticus (house sparrow), 243 nucleotides. RefSeq lists it as uncharacterized. The transcript is spliced from 2 exons. Lineage: Eukaryota; Metazoa; Chordata; Aves; Passeriformes; Passeridae. The record is from RefSeq and is a predicted model, not a curated record.
AUUGUCACUACAGCUGCCAAACUUCAGCAAAUCAGUCACUGCAGCUGGAAGGGACAAAAGCCAUCACCUGUGCCACUUCCUGCUGGGAUCAACCUGCCUGGAUGAAUUUCUUCUGACCUGUUCCUAAAGGAAGGCUGAAGAAGCACAGGAUCAACAUCACCUCAUGGGAUGGACUCUUAUGUCAGCUGGCCAUGCUCAGGAAGAGAUGUUCAGCCAAAACACCCUCACAGAGGAGAAAUCUCA